This 399-nucleotide ribosomal RNA is filed under the name uncultured bacterium. RNAcentral's name for it is "bacterial SSU rRNA". It matches the Rfam family "Bacterial small subunit ribosomal RNA", at positions 28 to 417 of the family's 1533-position model. The record is from RNAcentral.
GAUGAACGCUAGCUACAGGCUUAACACAUGCAAGUCGAGGGGCAGCAUGAACAUAGCUUGCUAUGUUUGAUGGCGACCGGCGCACGGGUGCGUAACACGUAUCCAAUCUGCCCGUCACUCGGGGAUAGCCUUCUGAAAGGAAGAUUAAUACCCGAUGGGAUGCAUUUCCGGCAUCGGAGAUGCAUUAAAGAUUUUAUCGGUGACGGAUGAGGAUGCGUACGAUUAGCUGGUUGGCGGGGUAACGGCCCACCAAGGCAACGAUCAGUAGGGGUUCUGAGAGGAAGGUCCCCCACAUUGGAACUGAGACACGGUCCAAACUCCUACGGGAGGCAGCAGUGAGGAAUAUUGGUCAAUGGACGAGAGUCUGACCAGCCAUGUACGCGUGAAGGAUGACUGUCC